Molecule: transfer-messenger RNA, 318 nt
Filed under: bacterium
Lineage: Bacteria
Rfam family: transfer-messenger RNA
About the family: Bacterial tmRNA, also known as 10Sa RNA or SsrA, is named for its dual tRNA and mRNA-like properties. Its role is to liberate the mRNA from a stalled ribosome. To accomplish this part of the tmRNA is used as a reading frame that ends in a translation stop signal.
Source: RNAcentral
GGGGAUGACUGGCUUCGAUAAAGACAAAUCCUGAACCAGCGAGCCGAGUGCGACCUCGUUAACUCGCAAAAAUACAUAACUGCCAACCAAAAAGUUGCUGCUCCCGCUUUCGCUUACGCGUAACGUGGGAGGAUCGGUUCGCUCGGGUCUCUUGAGCGAGUAUCCGGUCUUAUACUAGGAGACUCGUCCCAGUUAGGCAGCUUCGCGCCUAACGGGAUUAAAUCAAACGAAGCAAACCCGUCUCUUUUGAGGCUACGCUCGUAGAAAGUUCAGCGAAGAUAUCUUUAGACGGCGGUUCGAACCCGCCCAUCUCCACUA